CUCACCGCCUACUCAGUCGGAGGGCUGGGCGAACCUUGGAUCUCCUUUUGAGGCGCCAAGUGUUUCAGGUCCUGGGCUUGUCGGGAAAACUCUGGAAAACACGUUAGACUAGAUAAUCCAAACAAUGAAGAGAUACUCAGGAAGUGGUGGUGAAAAGAAACGGUUGGAACCCAGGGAGGAAACGAAAAGCUCACCAACUGAAGCAAUGCAAAGUUCAGGAAAUGACUGUCCUCAAAGCACAAACUUGGCCUCACAUAUUCCAAGAUGACUUCAUCCUUCCUCAUAACUCCCAUAUUGCAGAUGACUAAUUUGUUUACCUACCAUUAUAAAGCCCCAGACUCCCCCUUUUUCUUUGAGAUAUUUGUCAUUAAAAAAUUUUCUCUCUAAUGCAA
Leopardus geoffroyi (Geoffroy's cat) is the source of this 392-nucleotide long non-coding RNA. RefSeq lists it as uncharacterized. The record is from RefSeq and is a predicted model, not a curated record. The transcript has 3 exons. NCBI's taxonomy places the organism in Eukaryota, Metazoa, Chordata, Mammalia, Carnivora, Felidae.